This 225-nucleotide unclassified non-coding RNA is filed under the name uncultured Agaricales. RNAcentral describes it as "sequence contains ITS2". The record is from RNAcentral. Lineage: Eukaryota; Fungi; Basidiomycota; Agaricomycetes; Agaricales.
AAUUCUCAACCUACACUUGGUUUCUAAUCGAGUUGCUAGGAUUGGACUUGGGAGCUGCUGGCGAGUUUUAUUACGAGUCAGCUCUUCUUAAAUGCAUUAGCGGUGACUUUAAUGACCGUUACUUGGUGUGAUAAUUAUCUACGCCUUGUGUAUGGGAGUUAUAAUAAUGGUCGCAGCUUCUAACUGUCUGUUCAAUCAGACUGUUUGCUUGCAAACACUUUUGAC